CAGUCGAACGGAGCCUUAACCAAAGAAGCAGCCAGCUUGCUGGAAGCGGAAAAGGGAAAGGCUUAGUGGCGGACGGGUGAGUAACGCGUGGGUAACCUGGCCCAUACAGGGGGAUAACACUUAGAAAUAGGUGCUAAUACCGCAUAACAACAGAAAGCGCAUGCUUUUUGUUUGAAAACCAAGGUGGUAUGGGAUGGACCCGCGUCUGAUUAGCUGGUUGGCGGGGUAAAGGCCCACCAAGGCGACGAUCAGUAGCCGGCCUGAGAGGGUGGACGGCCACAUUGGGACUGAGACACGGCCCAAACUCCUACGGGAGGCAGCAGUGGGGAAUAUUGCACAAUGGGGGAAACCCUGAUGCAGCGACGCCGCGUGAGUGAAGAAGUAAUACGUUAUGUAAAGCUCUAUCAGCAGGGAAGAAAAUGACGGUACCUGAGUAAGAAGCCCCGGCUAACUACGUGCCAGCAGCCGCGGUAAUACGUAGGGGGCAAGCGUUAUCCGGAUUUACUGGGUGUAAAGGGAGCGUAGACGGCAGUGCAAGUCUGGAGUGAAAGGCGGGGGCUCAACCCCCGGACUGCUCUGGAAACUGUACGGCUGGAGUGCAGGAGAGGUAAGUGGAAUUCCUAGUGUAGCGGUGAAAUGCGUAGAUAUUAGGAGGAACACCAGUGGCGAAGGCGGCUUACUGGACUGUAACUGACGUUGAGGCUCGAAAGCGUGGGGAGCAAACAGGAUUAGAUACCCUGGUAGUCCACGCCGUANACGAUGAUCACUAGGUGUCGGGGGUUNAAGAACC
This 790-nucleotide ribosomal RNA is filed under the name uncultured bacterium. RNAcentral describes it as "bacterial SSU rRNA". It matches the Rfam family "Bacterial small subunit ribosomal RNA", at positions 59 to 838 of the family's 1533-position model. The record is from RNAcentral.